CCUGAGGAAGCGUUUUGCCUACGUGGAAAUAAAGCGCACCCUUAAGGAUGCGUUUUAUUGACACGUAAGCAGAAAGCUCCUUCAUGG
Gossypium hirsutum (cotton) is the source of this 87-nucleotide non-coding RNA. NCBI's taxonomy places the organism in Eukaryota, Viridiplantae, Streptophyta, Magnoliopsida, Malvales, Malvaceae. The record is from Rfam.